AAGUAACGCUAGCUAUAUGCUUAACACAUGCAAGUCGAACGUUGUUUUCGGGCGCGCUUGUCUCGCCUUGAGAACAAAGUGGCGAACGGGUGAGUAACACGUGGGUAACCUGCCCAAAAGAAGGGGAUAACAUUUGGAAACAAGUGCUAAUACCGUAUAACCAUGAUGACCGCAUGGUCAUGAUGUAAAAGGUGGUUUUGCUAUCGCUUUUGGAUGGACCCGCGGCGUAUUAACUAGUUGGUAAGGUAACGGCUUACCAAGGUGAUGAUACGUAGCCGAACUGAGAGGUUGAUCGGCCACAAUGGGACUGAGACACGGCCCAUACUCCUACGGGAGGCAGCAGUAGGGAAUCUUCCACAAUGGGCGCAAGCCUGAUGGAGCAACGCCGCGUGAAUGAAGAAGGUCUUCGGAUCGUAAAGUUCUGUUAUUAGAGAAGAACACGUGUAAGAGUAACUGAUUAUGCGUUGACGGUAUCUAAUCAGCAAGUCACGGCUAACUACGUGCCAGCCGCCGCAGUAAGAC
This 522-nucleotide ribosomal RNA is filed under the name uncultured bacterium. RNAcentral describes it as "bacterial SSU rRNA". It matches the Rfam family "Bacterial small subunit ribosomal RNA", at positions 32 to 526 of the family's 1533-position model. The record is from RNAcentral.